This is a long non-coding RNA of Numida meleagris (helmeted guineafowl), 1143 nucleotides long. RefSeq lists it as uncharacterized. The transcript has 3 exons. Lineage: Eukaryota; Metazoa; Chordata; Aves; Galliformes; Numididae. The record is from RefSeq and is a predicted model, not a curated record.
ACAACAAUUCUUUGGUACAAAUCUGCACACAAUGGAAUUUAGAUAGAAACGCAUUUAUUUAUGUAUCGAGUUUGCCAGAGGGUACAAAACGUCACUGCAUUGCUGCAGUGCUGCCACUGCUCCUUCUGCAGUGCUGACAUUUUGGAUGAAUGGCUGUGCAGCAUUGCCCAUCGCAGACUGCUGGCAGGCUCCAGAAGGGACUCAGCUCCCACUGCGCGAUGGCUGUGUGAGUGGCAUACUUUGCUGAAGUGUGUCCGGACUCUUUUUGGGAAGCUGGGAGGCAUCUUCUUGCUGUGAGGAGCUAGUAACUACUGUAACUGGCGGAGUGAUGGCAAAAAUCCUGGUGCAGGGAACAAAUGGAUGCUGAUGAAAAGAGAAAGGAAAAAAGAUGGAGAAGAAGAAAAGAAAUGAUGCUGGAAGCUGGCAAAAGCUUUUCUCUCUGAGUUCUGGAGCAGAAGAAACGCUUGCUGGGAAGAAAAGUCUGCAACUGGAGGUACACUGCAGCUCUCCUUUUUUGCUGCUGGAAAGAAGUUAAUAAAUGCAGUCACAAUACAAGGUAUACCAUUCUCAUUCCUUAUUGAUACCAACUAUACUGUGACAAUGAAUUUCAAAGUGCUGCUGAUGUAAACUCUACCUGAAGCCUGUUUGAUCUCAGAUAAGCAUCUUCAUCCCAUUCUUCAUUUCAAGAAAAGAAAAUCUUAGUGCACAGAAACAUAUUCAUUCGCUUUGGGUUCAGUUCAAGAUAAGCCAUGCUUUGCAGAAAACCUAAUUAAUAUCAAUCACAAGGAAAACAGGAAUUGGAAGGAAAUAUGCUUUCAUUUUUUGAUAAAGAGAUCACCCAUGAUACAUACACAAAUGGACAUACCAAUCUGCUUUAUUAUGGAGGUGUCAGAAAAGAAACAGUCCCUGUAGGGAGGAUGAUUUUAAAGAAUAAAGAGGCUGUUGCACUCUCACUCUGAUGUAAAUAAUUGAGUAACUUCAUGGUGGUGCUAGGCAGGAGUCCAAUGGUAAGACUUCAGAUGAGAAGUAGGUCCUGAAAUGGCAGGCUUAGUGUCAUUUUUAGGUGUUUAUUCCUAACAUGCAGAAUAAUAAUUAUUAAUGAUAGUUCAUAAACAUGUUUUUAAUAGUUCCUUUAAUGUAUUU